RNAcentral lists this ribosomal RNA (459 nucleotides) under uncultured bacterium. RNAcentral's name for it is "partial 16S ribosomal RNA". It matches the Rfam family "Bacterial small subunit ribosomal RNA", at positions 338 to 795 of the family's 1533-position model. The record is from RNAcentral.
CCUACGGGGGGCUGCAGUGAGGAAUCUUGGUCAAUGGCCGGGAGGCUGAACCAGCCAAGUCGCGUGAGGGAAGACGGCCCUACGGGUUGUAAACCUCUUUUGUCAGGGAGCAAGGUGCAGGUCGGGACCUGCUGUGAGAGUACCUGAAGAAAAAGCAUCGGCUAACACCGUGCCAGCAGCCGCGGUAAUACGGAGGCUGCGAGCGUUAUCCGGGUUUAUUGGGGUAAAAGGGUGCGCAGGCGGAGGCACAAGUCAGCGGUAAAAUCGCGGGGCUCAACCCCGGUCCGCCGUUGAAACUGUGUCCCUUGAGUGCGCGAAGGGUAGGCGGAAUGCGUGGUGUAGCGGUGAAAUGCGUAGAUAUCACGCAGAACACCGGUCGCGAAGGCAGCCUACCGGCGCGCAACUGACGCUCAUGCACGAAAGCGUGGGUAUCGAACAGGAUUAGAUACCCGUGUAGUC